RNAcentral lists this long non-coding RNA (861 nucleotides) under Ananas comosus (pineapple). Its description in RNAcentral is "long non-coding RNA (ACOM_LNC011905)". Lineage: Eukaryota; Viridiplantae; Streptophyta; Magnoliopsida; Poales; Bromeliaceae. The record is from RNAcentral.
AACAUAUGAAAAAACAAUAAAUUAGAUUUUUUAGUAAGGGGCAAUUGCCUAUAUACCCCUAAAAAGUUUCCGAUUUUUUUAUUUAUCCCUCUUAAAAGGCUAAUAUUAAAAAUACCCUUCUUAUAUUCUAAGUUCUUUCUAAUAUACCCUUGGAGCUAAAUUCCGUUAGUGCGGUGUUAACAGUUGCCGUUAACUCUGAAAAAUUACCAUUUUGCCCAUUCUAAUAUACCCUUGUACUGUAACUAACUUUUCUUAUAUAACCUUCAUAGAGCAAAUACUUUUCUUAUUUGCCCUUCAAAUAUUAAUUAAUUAAUUAAGCACAGCAAAUGAACGGAUGAGGUCGAUCGCAACUAAACCAACCUUGGUGGCUGGAGGCAUAGUUAGUUAAUUCGGAUUCGGAAAAAAUUCGGUUCGGAUAAAAUUCGUCUUUUAAUUUUUAAAUUCGUUGAAAAAUAUGGAUAAAAAAUAGAUUCGGCAAUUAUUCGGAUAUGUGAUUUAUACGGGUAUUAUACAUUCACCAAUUAAAAAUUCAGGAUAAAAAAUUUGGCUAUAUAAUAUGUCACGCCCCGAGCCCGCCUAUUUGGUCGAUUCAGGCACGCCAACAGACCGCCAAACAGACAGAGUUUUCCCUGUACGUCCAAGGCGUCACAAUCAAUACAAUUACAAGAGGUUCCAAACAGGAACAAUAUUCAACAACGAUUGCAUAAGGAAGGCAUCAAACAACAUAAACAACUAGACUAUUACAACCAUUCACAUUUAUAUACUUAUUACAUAUUACAUUUUCAUUUUUCUUUUCUUCCAAAUACAAUCAAGAUUGUUACAACAUUGUUUUCCGACAAGUUUAUUCUUUUCUUUUCUUCU